This 73-nucleotide transfer RNA is filed under the name Chloroflexota bacterium. RNAcentral describes it as "Chloroflexi bacterium (cold seep metagenome) tRNA-Arg". It matches the Rfam family "tRNA". Rfam says of the family: Transfer RNA (tRNA) molecules are approximately 80 nucleotides in length. Lineage: Bacteria; Bacillati; Chloroflexota. The record is from RNAcentral. RNAcentral also lists the same sequence under 1 other name.
GCCCCAGUAGCUCAAUGGAUAGAGCGCCGGACUUCUAAUCCGAUUGUUGCAGGUUCGAGUCCUGCCUGGGGCG